RNAcentral lists this ribosomal RNA (254 nucleotides) under uncultured bacterium. Its description in RNAcentral is "partial 16S ribosomal RNA". It matches the Rfam family "Bacterial small subunit ribosomal RNA", at positions 524 to 776 of the family's 1533-position model. The record is from RNAcentral.
UACGUAGGGGGCAAGCGUUGUCCGGAAUCAUUGGGCGUAAAGAGCGUGUAGGCGGUCCGGUAAGUCGGCUGUGAAAGCUCCAGGCUCAACCUGGAGUCGCCAUCCGAUACUGUCAUGGCUAGAGUCCGGUAGGGGCCCACGGAACUCCUGGUGUAGCGGUGAAAUGCGCAGAUAUCAGGAAGAACACCGAUGGCGAAGGCAGUGGGCUGGGCCGGUACUGACGCUGAGGAGCGAAAGCGUGGGGAGCGAACAGG